RNAcentral lists this ribosomal RNA (339 nucleotides) under uncultured Pseudomonadota bacterium. Its description in RNAcentral is "bacterial SSU rRNA". It matches the Rfam family "Bacterial small subunit ribosomal RNA", at positions 29 to 351 of the family's 1533-position model. Lineage: Bacteria; Pseudomonadati; Pseudomonadota. The record is from RNAcentral.
AAUGAACGCUGGCGGCGUGCCUAACACAUGCAAGUCGAACGAGAAAGCCUGGCUUGCCAGGCAAGUAAAGUGGCGCACGGGUGAGUAACGCGUGGGUAAUCUACCUUUGUCUGGGGGAUAACCUACCGAAAGGUGGGCUAAUACCGCAUAACGUGGUCGGGUUGUGACCUGAUCACCAAAGAUGGCCUCUCCAUGGAAGCUAUCAGGUAAAGAUGAGCCCGCGUCCCAUUAGCUAGUUGGUAAGGUAAUGGCUUACCAAGGCUACGAUGGGUAGCUGGUCUGAGAGGAUGGCCAGCCACACUGGAACUGGAACACGGUCCAGACUCCUACGGGAGGCUG